This is a long non-coding RNA of Oxyura jamaicensis (ruddy duck), 1580 nucleotides long. RefSeq lists it as uncharacterized. NCBI's taxonomy places the organism in Eukaryota, Metazoa, Chordata, Aves, Anseriformes, Anatidae. The transcript has 2 exons. The record is from RefSeq and is a predicted model, not a curated record.
GCAAGCAAAAGCUAGACAGAGUAGGCUUACAUAAUUUGUAAAUAAAAGGCUGCCUUGAAAAUAGGACCUUUUUCUUUUGAUGUGGCUUUGCGUCCAAAUUAUUUAUCAUUUUUAAAUAAUUACUUUUAUGUAAAGUGGCAGUUUUAACAUCCAUGCUAGGCUUUCAGAUGCCUAAAGAAGUGAAAACCUGUCUAGCUCAGAAGAGAAUCUGCCUGCUCUUUGCCACCUUAUGAGCAACACUCAUUUAAGUAUUCGUUUGUUAUUGCUUUACUUACAUUUUAAUCUGCAGUAUUUCAUGUUUACUAGAUCAGCAAAUAAUCAAGGUCUUUAGAUUUUAUUUUUUUUUGGAAUGUAUCUUAUUCCUCUGAAAAAAAUAAAAAUAAAAAUAAAAAGUUAAAUGCCUCUAUUUAAAUAGCUUUUAUCGCUGUAUGCAAAGUACAAACAAAAUGUAAACAGUUUCUUCUUCUAAUCCACAUCUGCCUGGGUGUAAUUACAUGAUACAUGCUGGUUAAGCACAAAAAUUUUGAAUAGACAGCUUUUUAAUUAGGCAUGUGCAUUGGGUCAGAGUAGAAUUAAAAUGGGUUCUAAAAAAUUGAUUUUAUAAAAAUGGCACCUGCUUACUCAACAGAUCUAGUUCUCGGGUAAAGUUCCAGUCACAUGCCCAAGUUAAAUCUUCCUCUUUGUAGAGAAAGGAAAGUUCUGAGCUGGGAUAAUAAAUUCUGUUCUGCCUCAUACAUCAGUCCUGCCAAAGACAGGGGUAAAUUUUAGUCUGAGUUAACCACUUGUGUAAUGGUCCUUUGUAGAAUUACUGACUUCAAAAUGUGAUAAACUGCUGGUUUGCCUCUAUUUUGCUCAAGUGUAAUUAAGAGGAAAAUUUGGGACUAUCUAACCCAAGUCUGAGUGCCUGGAUGCCCAGAAAUACACUUUGAUUUCACAUUUGUCAGAUAGAGUAACCAAUCAUUUUUAUUGUACUCUGUUUUUCCCCACAAAACUCAGUUCCCAGAGUCCAGUGCUUGAAUGACAGAUCUGUAGAUAGCAGCAUCCUGUCAGCUUUGCAGUUUGUUAGCACAUGGGUAAACCUUUCUGUAGGAGGUUAAGACUGGGAAAUAGUUCUCCUGUGCUGAAUGGACAGUUCAGCAUGCUCACAUACCUCGCAUAGCAAGUGGUCCUGAAAUUAUUUCUGAAUACAAAGGCAGCUACGCAUUAUGUCUCCCAGCAGCUUUUUUUGUUUCACUAUGGCUGCAGCAAUACCAUCUAUGAGAUAAAAUUGUUAUAGAGCUAACAAUAAAGUGGUCAAUUUUAAAUGUAUAGCUCUCUUCCAGUCUGUAGCUGUGGCUAUUAUGUGCGUGCACAUCUCCCAGGUUACACUCUUGGUAAAUUUUAGCAGUUAAUUUAAUAGUCCUUUUUAAAAGAAAUAAGACUUUUUUUUUUUUUUUUUUCUGGCAGGUAUUUUAUUAUUAAUAAGCAAUAGCCAUUUUAUGCUGUAAUCUCCUUUAAGAAGUGAUUAUAAUUUGUAAAUUUUAUUUUCAAUCCAGGCAUAAUUAAGUAAUUAAUAUUAGCAAAAUUAGGUCUAACUUAAA